Hevea brasiliensis (rubber tree) is the source of this 1454-nucleotide long non-coding RNA. RefSeq lists it as uncharacterized. The record is from RefSeq and is a predicted model, not a curated record. NCBI's taxonomy places the organism in Eukaryota, Viridiplantae, Streptophyta, Magnoliopsida, Malpighiales, Euphorbiaceae. The transcript has 2 exons.
CGAUAACCAGAAGGCCUACGCACUAAAGUCUUUCGAGGAUGGGAAGACCAUAGCUCAGGUGGCCGCUAACAUGGUCAGAGUCACCUCAAGUCCUUUGCUUUUGAACAUGCCUAAAAGCCCUCUUCAAUUUGCGACUUCGAGUUCUUAUCGGGCCCUAGUAGUCAUUCCAAUAACUUUUGUGCCCCUCAAUACUCCUUUAUUAACAUUGAAAAAUCUGCCACAACGCAAAAGGAACUUAAUGAAAGGAGGCGUGAAAGUAAAGACUGUCGGGGUCCACAAGCACUCUAUCCUACCACCAUGCGAGCUGACUAAAGCGUCUAGACCUGCUCCUUCAUAAGUUCAACAUCCUAUUUCCUUGGUAAAUGAGAUCUCAGAAAGCUUGGACAGUACUCGUGUAAAGAGGAAGAGGGUUCAAUCAUCUUCAGGGAAGCUACAGCCCCUCUUCUAGUGGUCCUUAUAGACAAGAAGAAGUCUGGUAGGGCUACUAUCCCUAAGCAAAGGUCUGCCAAAGGCAAAGGGACUGUGCUUAGCGGUCCAAAUGAAUUCUUGGGGUCUUAGUAUGGAUCAAGCUACAGGGUUGCUGGACACAAACUACACAGAAGAAUCGCCUCCCCAAUCGCUGCUGAGUUUAUAACGAAUCAGGCAUUCAAAGGAAGUCUAAGGCAUAGGAGUCGAUUAGACGAGUUUGGAAAGCAAGAAAACCAAGAGAAGCUGCUGCAUCACAGUACACGGGUUGUGUAAGAAUGAAGCCAAACCCGUGUAACCCCUCUGGCAAGAGAAGAUUGAAGAAAAUAUGAGGAGCCACAGUACACGAGUUAGAUCUCACAAUGCCCCCAUGUAACUCUCUAGAAAUCUAAAUCUGAAAAGCUAAAGAAAGGAAGACAAUACACAUGCUGUGUACUUGACCCCAUGUAAACUUAAAGACCCCCAUGUAACUUUCUGUCUCUCACCUGAACAAAGCCAAAUUCUAUCCAAAAACUUACCAUGUAGUGCCACACAGGUCAUGUACAUUGUAGCAGGCAAAUUUCUGAUACGACUCCAAUUCCAUUUCUCGCAUUCUGAACAGACUUCUAAGGCUCUUGGGACUCUAAAACAUGACUCUAAGGCAUCUGAUAUAAAUAUCAGAAGACUGGACUAAGGAGAGGAGACCCUUGACAGAAGUCUUUCAAUUUAGAAUUAGUUUUAGCUUUGUAAACCCUAGUUUUCUAAACUAUUUGAAGAAAAGCGGUAUCAGCACUAAGGAGAAGGGCUCUCAGCUGAAGUUCCAAAAGAUCAAGGCUGCAGAAUCCUUGUUCUGGGUUCUUUUGUUUUAUUUCCUCAAAUCGCUUUAUGUUCUUUUAUUUUAAUUUCAAUAUGUUUGUUAAACUCACCAUGAAUGAGUAGUUUUUUUAAUUCUGGAAUUAGGAGAGUAGCACUUUUAAUUUUUGUUAUGGAUACAUACUAAGUUUAUUUAA